GCUAGGUGCGGUGGCACAUGCCUGUAAUCCCAGUAGCUCAGGAGGCUGAGGCAGGAGGAUUGUGAGUUGAAAGCCAGCCUCAGCAUCUUAGUGAGGCCCUAAGCAACUUAGUGAGACCCUGUCUCUA
RNAcentral lists this small RNA (127 nucleotides) under Marmota monax (woodchuck). The record is from RNAcentral. Lineage: Eukaryota; Metazoa; Chordata; Mammalia; Rodentia; Sciuridae.